GAUGAACGCUGGCGGCGUGCCUAAUACAUGCAAGUCGAGCGAACGGACGAGAAGCUUGCUUCUCUGAUGUUAGCGGCGGACGGGUGAGUAACACGUGGAUAACCUACCUAUAAGACUGGGAUAACUUCGGGAAACCGGAGCUAAUACCGGAUAAUAUUUUGAACCGCAUGGUUCAAAAGUGAAAGACGGUCUUGCUGUCACUUAUAGAUGGAUCCGCGCUGCAUUAGCUAGUUGGUAAGGUAACGGCCUACCAAGGCAACGAUGCAUAGCCGACCUGAGAGGGUGAUCGGCCACACUGGAACUGAGACACGGUCCAGACUCCUACGGGAGGCAGCAGUAGGGAAUCUUCCGCAAAGGGCGAAAGCCUGACGGAGCAACGCCGCGUGAGUGAUGAAGGUCUUCGGAUCGUAAAACUCUGUUAUUAGGGAAGAACAUAUGUGUAAGUAACUGUGCACAUCUUGACGGUACCUAAUCAGAAAGCCACGGCUAACUACGUG
This 497-nucleotide ribosomal RNA is filed under the name uncultured bacterium. RNAcentral describes it as "partial 16S ribosomal RNA". It matches the Rfam family "Bacterial small subunit ribosomal RNA", at positions 28 to 507 of the family's 1533-position model. The record is from RNAcentral.